Molecule: signal recognition particle RNA, 304 nt
Filed under: Halorubrum cibi
Lineage: Archaea; Methanobacteriati; Methanobacteriota; Halobacteria; Halobacteriales; Haloferacaceae
Description: Archaeal signal recognition particle RNA
Rfam family: Archaeal signal recognition particle RNA
Source: RNAcentral
GGACUAGGUCGGGCGGUUAGGCCCCGCUCUCCACCCGUGAGGUAGUCUUCAGCGGGGACCGAACACCGGGCGCGUCCGGAUAGACCGGCGCGGGCCCCGAGAGCCAACGUGGAAGCCUCGUCCGCCGGGGACAGCGGUCCGCGAUGCCCGCUCGCAGGAGCGGUCCGUCGCGGUUCGCCGGCGACAACGGGUCAGGCGCGGAAGCGAGCAGCCCACCGCCGGACGCCCGUCGCUCGUCGGGUCGCGGGGUGGAGGAGGCAACCGGGAUACCCCGUGCCGGAACACCGGGCUACCCCGGCCGUCC